RNAcentral lists this ribosomal RNA (459 nucleotides) under uncultured bacterium. RNAcentral's name for it is "partial 16S ribosomal RNA". It matches the Rfam family "Bacterial small subunit ribosomal RNA", at positions 338 to 795 of the family's 1533-position model. The record is from RNAcentral.
CCUACGGGUGGCAGCAGUGAGGAAUAUUGGUCAAUGGGAGAGAUCCUGAACCAGCCAAGCCGCGUGAGGGAAGAAGGCCCUAUGGGUUGUAAACCUCUUUUGUCGGAAAACACAACCCGGGGCGUGUCACGGACUACGUGUAUCCGAAGAAAAAGCAUCGGCGAACUCCGUGCCAGCAGCCGCGGUAAUACGGAGGAUGCGAGCGUUAUCCGGAUUUAUUGGGUUUAAAGGGUGCGUAGGCGGUCAGUUAAGUCAGCGGUAAAAUUGCGGGGCUCAAGCCCGGCGAGCCGUGGAAACUGGCAGACUUGAGUUGGAGAGAAGGACGCGGAAGGCGCGGUGUAGCGGUGAAAUGCAGAGAUAUCGCGCAGAACUCCGAUGGCGAAGGCAGCGUACCGGCGCCAGACUGACGCUGAGGCACGAAAGCGUGGGGAUCGAACAGGAUUAGAUACCCGGGUAGUC